ACUUUAAGUCUCCUGAAGGAACUUUAAGUCUCCUGAAGGAACGUUGAAGACGACGACGUUGAUAGGUCGGGUGUGUAAGCGCAGCGAUGCGUUGAGCUAACCGAUACUAAUGAACCGUGAGGCUUAACCUU
Molecule: ribosomal RNA, 131 nt
Filed under: Enterobacter kobei
Lineage: Bacteria; Pseudomonadati; Pseudomonadota; Gammaproteobacteria; Enterobacterales; Enterobacteriaceae
Description: partial 23S ribosomal RNA
Rfam family: Bacterial large subunit ribosomal RNA
Source: RNAcentral